AAGACUCAGAGAGUGAGCAGGUCUUCUGGGGAAAGCUUCCACUCUAUUCAUCCAGGGGACACUAGAUUACUGCUUCCUACAUGGCAUGUUCUAUCUUGAUGCUGCUCGGCUACUGCCUCGACUCCCACGUCUGCAUCCCCGCCCUGCCGUCUCAUCUUCACUUCAAGAAAGAAGGCAAGUCCACAGCAAAACCAAAAACUAGGGAAGUGACAUUAUUUUUCUUCCCUGGGAGUUUGCUCCUUUUUGUUUUCAACAAAAUCAAAGAGCUUUGGAGGACAUAAAAAAAAAAAAAAGAUUUUCAAAAUUA
Molecule: long non-coding RNA, 307 nt
Organism: Bubalus bubalis (water buffalo)
Lineage: Eukaryota; Metazoa; Chordata; Mammalia; Artiodactyla; Bovidae
Exons: 2
Source: RefSeq, a predicted model, not a curated record